RNAcentral lists this ribosomal RNA (447 nucleotides) under uncultured bacterium. RNAcentral's name for it is "bacterial SSU rRNA". It matches the Rfam family "Bacterial small subunit ribosomal RNA", at positions 43 to 524 of the family's 1533-position model. The record is from RNAcentral.
CAGGCCUAACACAUGCAAGUCGAACGCCCCGCAAGGGGAGUGGCAGACGGGUGAGUAACACGUGGGAACGUACCCUUUGGUUCGGAACAACCCUGGGAAACUAGGGCUAAUACCGGAUACGUGCUUUGACAGGGAUGUCAUGGCAGAAAGGUUUACCGCCGAAGGAUCGGCCCGCGUCUGAUUAGCUAGUUGGUGAGGUAACGGCUCACCAAGGCGACGAUCAGUAGCUGGUCUGAGAGGAUGAUCAGCCACAUUGGGACUGAGACACGGCCCAAACUCCUACGGGAGGCAGCAGUGGGGAAUAUUGGACAAUGGGCGCAAGCCUGAUCCAGCCAUGCCGCGUGAGUGAUGACGGCCUUAGGGUUGUAAAGCUCUUUUACCUGGGAAGAUAAUGACGGUACCAGGAGAAUAAGCCCCGGCUAACUUCGUGCCAGCAGCCGCGGUAAU